AACGUGGAGACAGGUGGUGCAUGGCUGUCGUCAGCUCGUGUCGUGAGAUGUUGGGUUAAGUCCCGCAACGAGCGCAACCCUCACCCCUCGUUGCCAUCAGGUCAUGCUGGGCACUCUAGGGGAACUGCCCCGGUCAACGGGGAGGAAGGCGGGGAUGACGUCAAGUCAUCAUGCCCCUUACGCCCUGGGCUACACACGUGCUACAAUGGCCGGUACAAAGGGAUGCCACACCGCGAGGUAGAGCUAAACCCAAAAAGCCGGUCUAAGUUCAGAUUGGAGUCUGCAACUCGACUCCAUGAAGGAGGAAUCGCUAGUAAUCGCGUAUCAGCACGACGCGGUGAAUACGUUCCCGGGCCUUGUACACACCGCCCGUCACACCACGAAAGCCAGCUGUACUCGAAGUCGCUGAG
Molecule: ribosomal RNA, 410 nt
Filed under: uncultured Methylomirabilota bacterium
Lineage: Bacteria; Methylomirabilota (SeqCode)
Description: bacterial SSU rRNA
Rfam family: Bacterial small subunit ribosomal RNA
Source: RNAcentral